CAAUGCCCCCUUUAAAAAAAAAGAAAAAGAAAAAGAAAAAGAAGAUUAGCAUGGCCCCUGUGCAAGGAUGACAUACAAAUUCGUGAAGUGUUACAUAUUUUU
Non-coding RNA from Mus musculus (house mouse), 102 nucleotides. The record is from Rfam. NCBI's taxonomy places the organism in Eukaryota, Metazoa, Chordata, Mammalia, Rodentia, Muridae.